RNAcentral lists this ribosomal RNA (254 nucleotides) under uncultured bacterium. RNAcentral's name for it is "partial 16S ribosomal RNA". It matches the Rfam family "Bacterial small subunit ribosomal RNA", at positions 526 to 779 of the family's 1533-position model. The record is from RNAcentral.
CAGAGGGUGCAAGCGUUGUUCGGAAUUACUGGGCGUAAAGCGCGCGCAGGCGGCCCUUUAAGUCUGUCGGUCAAACGCCGGGCUCAACCCCGUGCUCGCCGCGGAUACUGGAGGGCUGGAGACAGGUAGAGGCAGGCGGAAUUCCGGGUGUAGCGGUGGAAUGCGUAGAGAUCCGGAAGAACACCAGAGGCGAAGGCGGCCUGCUGGGCCUUGUCUGACGCUGAGGCGCGAAAGCGUGGGGAGCGAACAGGAUU